CCUACGGGUGGCAGCAGUGCGGAAUAUUGGUCAAUGGGCGCGAGCCUGAACCAGCCAAGUAGCGUGAAGGAUGACUGCCCUACGGGUUGUAAACUUCUUUUAUAAAGGAAUAAAGUGAGGCACGUGUGCCUUUUUGUAUGUACUUUAUGCAUAAGGAUCGGCUAACUCCUUGCCAGCAGCCGCGGUAAUACGGAGGAUCCGAGCGUUAUCCGGAUUUAUUGGGUUUAAAGGUAGCGCAGAUGGGUUGUUAAUUCAGUUGUGAAAGUUUUCGGCUCAACCGUAAAAUUGCAAUUGAUACUGGCAGCCUUGAGUACAGUUGAGGUAGGCGGAAUGCGUGGUGUAGCGGUGAAAUGCUUAGAUAUCACGAAGAACUCCGAUUGCGAAGGCAGCUUACUAAACUGCCACUGACAUUGAUGCUCGAAAGUGUGGGUAUCAAACAGGAUUAGAUACCCUUGUAGUC
This 460-nucleotide ribosomal RNA is filed under the name uncultured bacterium. RNAcentral describes it as "partial 16S ribosomal RNA". It matches the Rfam family "Bacterial small subunit ribosomal RNA", at positions 338 to 795 of the family's 1533-position model. The record is from RNAcentral.